RNAcentral lists this non-coding RNA (21 nucleotides) under Caenorhabditis elegans. Lineage: Eukaryota; Metazoa; Nematoda; Chromadorea; Rhabditida; Rhabditidae. The record is from RNAcentral.
UAAGUAUUCACAAGGGAAGCU